Molecule: long non-coding RNA, 442 nt
Filed under: Homo sapiens (human)
Lineage: Eukaryota; Metazoa; Chordata; Mammalia; Primates; Hominidae
Description: HSALNT0016466
Source: RNAcentral
CUCCUCUUAACUCAUGGGAAGGCCCUAGGCCUCAUUUAUUCUUCUAAAUCAGUUCUCAACAACAGGGUGCACUGCCCUCUAGGGGAUGUUUUGGGUAUCUGUGGGGGGAUUUUUUUUAGUUGUCACUGUGUGUGUGUGUGUGUGUGUGUGUGUGUGUGUGUGUGUGUGUGUGUGUUGGGGUGGGGGGUGAGGUGGUGAUGGUGGUGGUGAAGGAUCCUGGUAUUUAGGAGCCAAGGAUCCUAGACAAUACUGCAAUGACCAGGACAGUGCUGCACAAAAAAGAAUUGUCCCACAUCUCACAUGACUUUUAAAAGCCCCAUUGGAGGCCAGGCGCCAUGGCUCACACCUGUAAUCCCAGCACUUUGGUAGGCCGAGGCGGGCGGAUCACCUGAGGUCAGGAGGUCGAGACCAGCCUGGCCAGCAUAGUGAAACCCCAUUUCUA